RNAcentral lists this long non-coding RNA (644 nucleotides) under Heterocephalus glaber (naked mole-rat). RNAcentral's name for it is "lncRNA (ENSHGLG00100042834.1)". The record is from RNAcentral. Lineage: Eukaryota; Metazoa; Chordata; Mammalia; Rodentia; Bathyergidae.
GGCUGACUUGGAGGAUCGCCUGUGAGUUCAAGGCCAGCCUGGGCUACAUAGUUCAAGUUCAAACGAAAGUAUUGAAGAACCCUUGUAACCUCAAUUGAAAGAUCAUUAGAGGGAGCCAGCCCCUAGAUUUGGACGAAUGUUCUUUAUAUAUCCCCUUUCACAUUUCACAAUCAUGAUUUAGAAUGAAAAUUGACAUUUCAGUCACUAAAACUGGUAGUUUUGGGCUGAGGGUGUAGCUCAGUGGUAGAGCACAUGCCUAGCAUGUUUAAGGCCCUGGAUCCAAUCCCUAGGACUGGCAAACACAAAGAAAAAAAGACUGAUAGCUCGUCUGUAUGAUCUGGCCUCUCUUGAGCCAAGUUAAAUCAGCUGUUGGAGAAGCAGUGAAAGGGACAGGGGACCAAGAGAUGGAGGAAGAGGGGAGAACAGGUAAAAAAAUUAUGUGUUACAUGCAUGCAUCGACUACCUACAAGGAGUGGAAUCAUUAUGUACUGCAAACCUGUACUAAUAAAAUGAAAAAUGUUGAAUUGAGUUCCAAAGUACAUUUCAACGUCAUGUGCUUUUUGUGGUCUUCUUUUGUGGUACUGGGUGUUGAACCCAGAGCUAUUACACUGAGCUUUAGCUUCCCCCACCUUUUUAUGUUUAUU